RNAcentral lists this transfer RNA (71 nucleotides) under Gerrhonotus liocephalus. RNAcentral's name for it is "tRNA-Gln". The record is from RNAcentral. Lineage: Eukaryota; Metazoa; Chordata; Lepidosauria; Squamata; Anguidae.
CUAGAAAGACAGGAGUUGAACCUGCACAAAAAAACUCAAAAUCUUCUGCACUUCCAUUAUACUACUUCCUA